Ruditapes philippinarum (Manila clam) is the source of this 3021-nucleotide long non-coding RNA. RefSeq lists it as uncharacterized. Lineage: Eukaryota; Metazoa; Mollusca; Bivalvia; Venerida; Veneridae. The record is from RefSeq and is a predicted model, not a curated record. The transcript has 4 exons.
CACUGAUAGUUCUAUAUUAUUAUCACACAUUUAUAAUAAACGUUCCUUUUUCAGGGUGAAACUAUUUCUCUUUAUCUGAAUUUGAUUCUUAAUCCAUUAAUUUCGAUUUGAUUAUUGAGGCUAAGUUAACAUGAAUUUGAUAUAGGGAACACUUUGAAAAUAAUUUUUAACUACACUUAAACUUUAUUUAGGACAGCAAACAAAAACAUACUGAAUAAAACUUUUAAACAACAUAGCUAGAAAACAGAAACCAUAUCAUGUUACAUUCAACGUGUUUUGAUGGGAUAAGCGAAGACACGUUGUCAAGUAAAGAAACGCUUGAUUAUAUUUAAAUGUAAAACAUUCAAUUAAUAUCAAAAAGCCUAAGUGUUUUCCCCUACUUUGAGAAUGGUGCUGGUACAGAUAACGGUACCGGACAGAUUGGGAAAAAAUCCAUCGGUUUGACUCAAAUUGGGAAUUUUAUUUUAGAUGCAAAAUAUUUAUUGGGAAUUUCUUUUAUCCAGGGAGGUGAUGAAAAUUUUGCAUUAUUAUACACUUUAAAACCAUGAAUUAUUAACUUUAAAGAUUUCAUUUUUUCUGCUUGAGGUUGAAAAAAAAAUUGAUAAUCAUAACAAUUGUACAUAAAUAAUGUUUAAGUGUGAAACAUUAAGUACGAAAUGAACUGGGUACGAAUAUCACUCAUGUGUUUUUACUUGGUUUUUAUUGUAUAUCACUUAUCAAUACGGAAGGCUCCGAGGCAUCCAUUACUGUUUUUUAGAGGAAAUUUUCAGUGUUAAAUUUGGAAUUUAUCAGUCAUGAAUUUGAAAAGUUGCUGUCUAUUUUCUAUUGGGAACGGUGCCGUUUUCCGGUAUCAGUUAUAUAAGGAAAACACUGGGUUGUUGUUAAAAUUUUAGUCAUUGACUAGAUUUCUACCAGAUUUUUGUUUUGUUUUUACUCCUCUUGUGGUUAUAGAGUGUGAUGAACAUAUCGACUCUUACUUUGUAAAACGUUCAGAUACAAAGACAGUUGCUAAAAAAUAGCAAAAUCUCAAGUUUGUUUUGUCCCUGUCUUGCAUAUCUGUAAUGGAAGAACAGUUAUUAUGGAUAAAUACAGGUACUUCAAUAAAAUGUAAUUUUGGGUACUGUCAGAUGUACACGUUACGCUACAAGUUUCUUCUCAUAAUUACAUAUUUAACAACUAGUAUGGCUAAUGAGUACACAAUCUUGGAGGUACUACACUACAUGGCAGAAGAGAAUAUCUGUCCUUGCAAGCAGUCUUGAAGACCUUCUGAAGAAAGGCAAUAAUUUUUACACACUACAGCACAAUUACAACACAGUGUUAGGUUGUGCUCAAACGAGGAAUGUACAGCCACAGUUGAUUGUGAAAGUCUGGUGAUCAAGAUGCCAAGUAAAACCGAUAUGUGAAUAGAAAAAAAAAUAGACAUUUCACAGUAUCAUAGCUUUAUUUACAUUUAAAUUGAUUUUUUAAAACAAGAAAUGUGAUUCCACCUUUCUGUGUUUAAUUUUCACUACAUAUGCAAAUUCAAUAAAUUAUCAUAAUGUAAGUAAUACCUAAUUGCAAUAACUAUUGUCCGCCACUUUGAUUUUCACAAACAUUUAACAUGGUGAACCCUAAAUGUUAAUCAAAUUAUUCACAAAAUUUUAGCGUUGCAAAAAUAUCUGAUUUCACAGUAUAAAGAAAAUUCAAACAAGUAGACUCAAAGCUCAAACUUUUCACAAAAUAUAAUAAUCAUGUAAAACAAGCCAUACUUGAUGAUAUUAUUUAGAAUUUUCAUUAAAAAAAAAAGGAACAGUUGACAAAAUUUAAUUUGAGUUCUAUAUAUGCUGUUGAGAUCCAUUUGUGAUGGCAGAAAUCAUCUGCAUGAAUAUAACUACGGAUCUCAUUUAUCUAAUAUUUGAUAGCUACAAUACAUAAUUGUUAUGUUAGAAUGGCUGUCUAAUGUUUUACAGAAAAGAUCUGUAGUUUGAUAAAUAAUUCAAACAGUUUGAUACUUCGAUGUAGUUGUUAUUGAUGACUAUUUCUCAGAAACACUAACUAAAGUUCUAUUCAAUAAUUUAGCUGGUGACAAGCAACAGUUGCAAGGAGGAAGUUUGAUUGUUGUGCUGGAAAAAAAAAUGUGACAGAAAUGGAAGAAAACGCCAUCCUUGACAUAUUCAAAACUAAGUAUUGAUGCUUCUAGAAGACCAACAAUUAUGAGAACCAGAUAUUCCAAAAGACACUGUUGUAAUGUUUGGGCAGACACCCAAGAUGCCAACAUGUCAAAGACAGACACAGAGUCCACAACUGUUACCACAACGACAGAAAUUGUAACACCAUCUUAUGUUGCUGGAAAUUAAAUUAAUUUUUGCAGUAGGCCACAUCCAACCAUUUGUUGACAAUCUAGAGAUAUUGUUUGAAGCAGAAGCUACACUUAGACCUGGAGGAAAAGAGUGCAAAGAUGAUUUGGACGUUAUAAGAGCCAUAGAAAGUAAUACAGGGUUCAAACAUGGAAAGGGGUGCAAGACUAGAUAAAUUGUAGUUCUACAUAAGGAUAUUGAAGAAGCUAAUCUGUCAAAGGUCCUGUCAUCACAGCCUAAUACUCCUCCAAGUGAAGCCUUGUUUUUAUUUUUAACAACAUAGAACUGGACAAACAGUAUAUUGUUGGAGACCAGUGCAAGAUACCACUUGAGACAGAUAGCUUCAUGGAAGGGCUAUUCUGAUUAAUAAGCUGGUAUUUUAUAAUGGAUCUAGAAAAUCCCAAUGCUUUUCACAACUCCUUGGAUUCAUGCAACAAACAGUAUUUAAACAAGCCUUUCUUAGUCACAAGUCGGCUGUGUAUUUACACUUUGUGGAACAAAUAGAACCAACAUUUUAAAUUAAAUUCAACCUUUUGUGUCAUGGACACAUUAUUGACUGCUUAACAGCUUACUUUUACCAUGAAAAAACCUGCUUUUUUGCACUUGCAAAAACAAAGGUGGAGAAUAGCUGUGUGGUAACCAUUAGCUGAUCAGUGCCUUUAUUUUUGCUGCAUAGAUAGUGCAA